This 342-nucleotide ribosomal RNA is filed under the name uncultured bacterium. RNAcentral's name for it is "bacterial SSU rRNA". It matches the Rfam family "Bacterial small subunit ribosomal RNA", at positions 28 to 359 of the family's 1533-position model. The record is from RNAcentral.
GACGAACGCUGGCGGCGUGCCUAAUACAUGCAAGUCGAACGCUCUUUUCUUAUCGAACUUCGGUUCACCAAGAAAAGGGAGUGGCGAACAAGUGAGUAACACGUGGGUAACCUACCCAUCAACAAGGGAUAACUAUUGGAAACGAUAGCUAAUACCGCAUAACAGCAUUUAACCCAUGUUAGAUGCUUGAAAGGAGCAAUUGCUUCACUAGUAGAUGGACCUGCGUUGUAUUAGCUAGUUGUGAGUAACGCUCACCAAGGCACGAUACAUAGCCGACCUGAGAGGUNAUCGGCANACUGGGACUGAGACACGCCCAGACUCCUACGGGAGCAGUCAGUAGGG